AUGGACAUUUACUUGCCUGGAGUAGGAAUGAUUUCCAGUUGCCUGUCUACCAAAAGGCAUAAGACUCCAGACAUAGCUUUCACUGAACUCUCCUUGCCUAGAAGGUCAGAACAAGCUGAUAUUCAUGCCUUGCCAGCUGGAUCUCCCUUGCUUCUUCCAGGAGAGAGGGGGUUGAAAGAACCAACAGGAGCUGAGAAGCGUUAUACACGAAGGAGGAAAAGCAACAAAGAGCUUGAAGACUUUCAUGGCUCCCAGGCCCUGGAUGGAGGCAGGCGGCCUCAGACGGACAGAACCAGGGAGAUGCCUGUGGCUGCAGAGCCCAGACUUGUCUUGGAAAAGAUGGAGAAGAGCCAGUCAACUUGGCUUCCUUGCUUCUGCUCAUCCCCAUCAGCAGAGAGAAAUAAUGAGUCCCGAAACAUUUCAGAAUCAAAAAGUUAAAAUGAUGUUUCAAUGAUGCUACAUCGUGCCAGACGCAGGCUAAUGGUUUGAAGAUGUUGGCCUAGCAAGAUGGCAACGAGUUUAAAAAAUAGGAUUCCUAAGAAGUUACUUUUUUCAG
Molecule: long non-coding RNA, 556 nt
Filed under: Vulpes vulpes (red fox)
Lineage: Eukaryota; Metazoa; Chordata; Mammalia; Carnivora; Canidae
Description: lncRNA (ENSVVUG00000020677.1)
Source: RNAcentral